RNAcentral lists this ribosomal RNA (252 nucleotides) under uncultured bacterium. RNAcentral's name for it is "partial 16S ribosomal RNA". It matches the Rfam family "Bacterial small subunit ribosomal RNA", at positions 524 to 776 of the family's 1533-position model. The record is from RNAcentral.
UACGUAGGUCCCGAGCGUUGUCCGGAUUUAUUGGGCGUAAAGCGAGCGCAGGCGGUUGGAUAAGUCUGAAGUUAAAGGCUGUGACUCAACCAUAGUAUGCUUUGGAAACUGUUCAACUUGAGUGCAGAAGGGGAGAGUGGAAUUCCAUGUGUAGCGGUGGAAUGCGUAGAUAUAUGGAGGAACACCGGUGGCGAAAGCGGCUCUCUGGUCUGUAACUGACGCUGAGGCUCGAAAGCGUGGGUAGCGAACAGG